CCUACGGGUGGCAGCAGUGAGGAAUAUUGGUCAAUGGGCGCAAGUCUGAACCAGCCAAGUAGCGUGAAGGAUGACUGCCCUACGGGUUGUAAACUUCUUUUAUGAGGGAAUAAAGUGAGGCACGUGUGCCUUUUUGUAUGUACUUUAUGAAUAAGGAUCGGCUAACUCUGUGCCAGCAGCCGCGGUAAUACGGAGGGUCCGCGGGUUAUCCGGAUUUAUUGGGUUUAAAGGGAGCGUAGACGGGCUGUUAAGUCAGUUGUGAAAGUCUGCGGCUCAACCGUAGAAUUGCAGUUGAUACUGGCAGGCUUGAGUACAGUUGAGGUAGGCGGAAUUCGUGGUGUAGCGGUGAAAUGCUUAGAUAUCACGAAGAACUCCGAUUGCGAAGGCAGCUUACUAGACUGCCACUGACACUGAGGCUCGAAAGUGUGGGUAUCAAACAGGAUUAGAUACCCGGGUAGUC
RNAcentral lists this ribosomal RNA (460 nucleotides) under uncultured bacterium. RNAcentral's name for it is "partial 16S ribosomal RNA". It matches the Rfam family "Bacterial small subunit ribosomal RNA", at positions 338 to 795 of the family's 1533-position model. The record is from RNAcentral.